RNAcentral lists this ribosomal RNA (253 nucleotides) under uncultured bacterium. RNAcentral describes it as "partial 16S ribosomal RNA". It matches the Rfam family "Bacterial small subunit ribosomal RNA", at positions 526 to 779 of the family's 1533-position model. The record is from RNAcentral.
CAGAGGGUGCUAGCGUUGUUCGGAAUUACUGGGCGUAAAGGGCGCGUAGGCGGCCUUUAAGUCAGGCGUGAAAGCCCCAGGCUCAACCUGGGAUGUGCGCUUGAUACUGGAAGGCUAGAGAGUAGGAGAGGAAAACAGAAUUCCUAGUGUAGAGGUGAAAUUCGUAGAUAUUAGGAAGAAUACCAGUGGCGAAGGCGGUUUUCUGGACUACUACUGACGCUGAGGCGCGAAAGCGUGGGGAGCAAACAGGAUU